RNAcentral lists this ribosomal RNA (253 nucleotides) under uncultured bacterium. RNAcentral describes it as "partial 16S ribosomal RNA". It matches the Rfam family "Bacterial small subunit ribosomal RNA", at positions 524 to 776 of the family's 1533-position model. The record is from RNAcentral.
UACGAAGGGGGCAAGCGUUGUUCGGAAUUACUGGGCGUAAAGGGCGCGUAGGCGGCGCGGUAAGUCACUUGUGAAAUCUCUGAGCUUAACUCAGAACGGCCAAGUGAUACUGCAGUGCUAGAGUGUGGAAGGGGCAAUCGGAAUUCUUGGUGUAGCGGUGGAAUGCGUAGAGAUCCGAAAGAACACCGGAGGCGAAGGCGGCUUGCUGGGCGUGAUCUGACGCUGAGGCGCGAAAGCGUGGGGAGCGAACAGG